This 424-nucleotide ribosomal RNA is filed under the name uncultured bacterium. Its description in RNAcentral is "bacterial SSU rRNA". It matches the Rfam family "Bacterial small subunit ribosomal RNA", at positions 207 to 623 of the family's 1533-position model. The record is from RNAcentral.
AAGACCUUGCGCUUUUGGAGCGGCCGAUGCCUGAUUAGCUUGUUGGUAAGGUAAAAGCUUACCAAGGCUUCGAUCAGUAGCUGGUCUGAGAGGACGACCAGCCACACUGGGACUGAGACACGGCCCAGACUCCUACGGGAGGCAGCAGUGGGGAAUUUUGGACAAUGGGGGCAACCCUGAUCCAGCCAUGCCGCGUGAGUGAAGAAGGCCUUCGGGUUGUAAAGCUCUUUCAGCCGGAACGAAACGGUUACGGAUAACACCCGUGACUACUGACGGUACCGGAAGAAGAAGCACCGGCUAACUACGUGCCAGCAGCCGCGGUAAUACGUAGGGUGCGAGCGUUAAUCGGAAUUACUGGGCGUAAAGCGUGCGCAGGUGGUUUUGUAAGUCAGAUGUGAAAGCCCCGGGCUCAACCUGGGAAACU